UCUUUUGUACGCCUGCCUUUNCAUGCAAGUCGAACGGCAGCGGGGGUAGCUUGCUACCUGCCGGCGAGUGGCGAACGGGUGAGUAAUACAUCGGAACGUGCCCUGUAGUGGGGGAUAACUAGUCGAAAGACUAGCUAAUACCGCAUACGACCUGAGGGUGAAAGUGGGGGACCGCAAGGCCUCAUGCUAUAGGAGCGGCCGAUGUCUGAUUAGCUAGUUGGUGGGGUAAAGGCCCACCAAGGCGACGAUCAGUAGCUGGUCUGAGAGGACGAUCAGCCACACUGGGACUGAGACACGGCCCAGACUCCUACGGGAGGCAGCAGUGGGGAAUUUUGGACAAUGGGGGCAACCCUGAUCCAGCAAUGCCGCGUGUGUGAAGAAGGCCUUCGGGUUGUAAAGCACUUUUGUCCGGAAAGAAAUCGCUUCGGUUAAUACCUGGAGUGGAUGACGGUACCGGAAGAAUAAGGACCGGCUAACUACGUGCCAGCAGCCGCGGUAAUACGUAGGGUCCAAGCGUUAAUCGGAAUUACUGGGCGUAAAGCGUGCGCAGGCGGUUGUGCAAGACCGAUGUGAAAUCCCCGGGCUUAACCUGGGAAUUGCAUUGGUGACUGCACAGCUAGAGUGUGUCAGAGGGAGGUAGAAUUCCACGUGUAGCAGUGAAAUGCGUAGAGAUGUGGAGGAAUACCGAUGGCGAAGGCAGCCUCCUGGGAUAACACUGACGCUCAUGCACGAAAGCGUGGGGAGCAAACAGGAUUAGAUACCCUGGUAGUCCACGCCCUAAACGAUGUCAACUAGUUGUUGGGGAUUCAUUUCCUUAGUAACGUAGCUAACGCGUGAAGUUGACCGCCUGGGGAGUACGGUCGCAAGAUUAAAACUCAAAGGAAUUGACGGGGACCCGCACAAGCGGUGGAUGAUGUGGAUUAAUUCGAUGCAACGCGAAAAACCUUACCUACCCUUGACAUGCCACUAACGAAGCAGAGAUGCAUUAGGUGCUCGAAAGAGAAAGUGGACACAGGUGCUGCAUGGCUGUCCGUCAGCUCGUGUCGUGAGAUGUUGGGUUAAGUCCCGCAACGAGCGCAACCCUUGUCUCUAGUUGCUACGAAAGGGCACUCUAGAGAGACUGCCGGUGACAAACCGGAGGAAGGUGGGGAUGACGUCAAGUCCUCAUGGCCCUUAUGGGUAGGGCUUCACACGUCAUACAAUGGUGCAUACAGAGGGUUGCCAAGCCGCGAGGUGGAGCUAAUCCCAGAAAAUGCAUCGUAGUCCGGAUCGUAGUCUGCAACUCGACUACGUGAAGCUGGAAUCGCUAGUAAUCGCGGAUCAGCAUGCCGCGGUGAAUACGUUCCCGGGUCUUGUACACACCGCCCGUCACACCAUGGGAGUGGGUUUUGCCAGAAGUAGUUAG
RNAcentral lists this ribosomal RNA (1405 nucleotides) under Ralstonia solanacearum. Its description in RNAcentral is "bacterial SSU rRNA". It matches the Rfam family "Bacterial small subunit ribosomal RNA". Lineage: Bacteria; Pseudomonadati; Pseudomonadota; Betaproteobacteria; Burkholderiales; Burkholderiaceae. The record is from RNAcentral.